AUCGGUUUCAUUGUAUAAUUUUUCCAGAAAAACACCCUAAUCUAAGAGAAAGACAUAACUAAUUCCUUAAUCUACAACUAGUAGCCAGAUUACAAAUUCAAUCAAAAUUAUUUCAAAAAGGUCCAGAUGAAAGAUAUUUCCUUUAUCUCGUUCUCCUUAUAUCAUCUAUCAUGUCUCUAAAUAUAAUUUCUUUAAUUCCUAAAGCAUUCUAAGUUCUAACUGCAAAUUUCACAUUUCAUUUUACUGAUUAAACUUCUUCAUGUAAUGCUAUCCUGACAAACAUAACUAAGCA
RNAcentral lists this unclassified non-coding RNA (292 nucleotides) under Hevea brasiliensis (rubber tree). Lineage: Eukaryota; Viridiplantae; Streptophyta; Magnoliopsida; Malpighiales; Euphorbiaceae. The record is from RNAcentral.